GUCUAGUAGAUGAGGUGGCAGAGGGCUUGGUGGUGGUUUAGAGGUCUAGUAGAUGAGGUGGCAGAGGGCUUGGUGGUGGUUUAGAGGUCUAGUAGAUGAGGUGGCAGAGGGCUUGGUGGUGGUUUAGAGGUCUAGUAGAUGAGGUGGCAGAGGGCUUGGUGGUGGUUUAGAGGUCUAGUAGAUGAGGUGGCAGAGGGCUUGGUGGUGGUAUGCCGAUAUAAGGCAGGAAUGGGGUUAAAACAGGAGUGGAUUUUCCCAACAGCCUUCGUAACUUAAGAAGUAUGUUACAGUAUUUCUGGAAUCAAGCCACUUGUCGAACAGCUUGUUGAAUUGCUAGAUUACACCACCUGCUUGGCUAAGCCUAUGGCGAUAUAUGGAGUGAAUAUACUAUGGAGCAGAGUUGAUCUUGUGUUUAGACAUUCUAAAUGCUUGAUAUAGAGUAUAUUACUUAUAUAUCUUGUCGAACAGCAAAGGGCUUCAGCUUCAUUUUACAAAUGUAAUUUGUUAAUCCAUACCAUAACAGAUGUAGACUACCAGCAAAUAUAGAUUGUAUAAUAGUUAUUAUCUCACACCUAGUGCAGCUGUGUUGGGAGAUAACAUACCACUUGAGUUAUCAAGGCUAUAGCAGACCCACCCGAGAACAGUACAUUGUACAGAACACAUCAGGGAUGGAGCGAGGACAGGGUCAAAACACAACAGUAAACAUCAGGGAUGGAGCGAGGACAGGGUCAAAACACAACAGUAAACAUCAGGGAUGGAGCGAGGACAAGGUCAAAACACAACAGUAAACAUCAGGGAUGGAGCGAGGACAAGGUCAAAACACAACAGUAAACAUCAGGGAUGGAGCGAGGACAAGGUCAAAACACAACAGUAAACAUCAGGGAUGGAGCGAGGACAAGGUCAAAACACAACAGUAAACAUCAGGGAUGGAGCGAGGACAAGGUCAAAACACAACAGUAAACAUCAGGGAUGGAGCGAGGACAAGGUCAAAACACAACAGUAAACAUCAGGGAUGGAGCGAGGACAGGGUCAAAACACAACAGUAAACAUCAGGGAUGGAGCGAGGACAAGGUCAAAACACAACAGUAAACAUCAGGGAUGGAGCGAGGACAAGGUCAAAACACAACAGUAAACAUCAGGGAUGGAGCGAGGACAAGGUCAAAACACAACAGUAAACAUCAGGGAUGGAGCGAGGACAGGGUCAAAACACAACAGUAAACAUCAGGGAUGGAGCGAGGACAGGGUCAAAACACAACAGUAAACAUCAGGGAUGGAGCGAGGACAAGGUCAAAACACAACAGUAAACAUCAGGGAUGGAGCGAGGACAAGGUCAAAACACAACAGUAAACAUCAGGGAUGGAGCGAGGACAGGGUCAAAACACAACAGUAAACAUCAGGGAUGGAGCGAGGACAAGGUCAAAACACAACAGUAAACAUCAGGGAUGGAGCGAGGACAGGGUCAAAACACAACAGUAAACAUCAGGGAUGGAGCGAGGACAGGGUCAAAACACAACAGUAAACAUCAGGGAUGGAGCGAGGACAAGGUCAAAACACAACAAUUCUUCAGGAUAACAACAGUAGAGAUCCUGUCAAAUGAAGAGCUGUUAAUGUAGAAAUUUUGAGAGAUCAAUUCAAUCAAACUGGCAUCGUAUCUCAUAUUGACUGUACUGAAGUAAUAGUGCAGAAGGGUUUCAGACACCGUGAGAAUAUUCAGUAGACUCCCCUCACAGGUAUAUGCUUAAAGAUUCUGAACGUUCCCUGUGUGAGAACAAAGAUACUGUCACCAGGCAACACCUCUAAGGCACAUUUGAUUGAACAGAUCUCUCAGUAAACAAAAAAGGGGGUCAUCACUAAUUUCUGAAUCGGAAAGAGAAGAAAUACACAUUUUAUAAUUGUCAUGGCUUCAUUUGUCCAUAUCUUGAGUGGCUGGCCAGAACAAUGGCAUCUCAAUGAAGGAGACCAUUCAGUCUGAAAAUGUCUCAGACUCCCUUACAAAACAUUAUCUGAGUAAUUUUCUUCUCUGUCAAUUUCAGACAUCUGUGAAUACCACCGAUCACUCUCAGUGUGUGUGAGUGUGUGUGUGUGUGUGAGUGAGAGAGAGAGAGAGAGAGAGAGAGAGAGAGAGAGAGAGAGAGAGAGAGAGAGAGAGAGAGAGAGAGAGAGAGAGAGAGAAAUUGAAGUGAGAGAAAUUGAAGUGAGAGAAAGAAAUUCAUUGUGAGUAGGGACCUUCGCUUCGUGCAGGCAGCCUACUGAGAAAGUCCACUAAAUGACUAUUCAAUGACAUUAAAUAGGAGACUUCUCUCCCCAUAGGAGGCUUCUCAUUAAAAUAAAUGCAAUCUCCCCAUAGGAGGCUUCUCAUUAAAAUAAAUGCUAUCUCCCCAUAAGAGGCUUCUCAUUUAAAUAAAUUGAGAUGAUUAUGGUUGAAUUCAAAGAUCCACAUGACUCCUGCAAGAUCUUUCUGGAACAGAAUACAUGUACGACAUGGACUGUAGUCAUGAAAGGUGAGGUUAGGCGGGUGUUGUCUGCUUUAGCUGUUAUAAAAUAAUCAUUCAUAAUAAUACAAAUAAUGCCCCCCUCCCGCCCCCCAAAAAACAGUUUUUCUAAUCUUUUCACAAAUAAAGCCUGACAACAUCAGUCUGAGAGAGAAGAGAGGAGAAGAGAAUAAAGAGAGGAGAAGAGAGGAGAACAAGGGAGAGAGAAGAGAUGAGAGAGGAGAAGAGAGGAGGGAGGAGAAGACAGGAGAGGAGAACAGAGACGAGAAGAAAGAACAGGGGAGAGAGAAGAGAUGAGAGAGGAGAAGAGAGGAGGGAGGAGAAGACAGGAGAGGAGAACAGAGACGAGAAGAAAGAACAGGGGAGAGAGAAGAGAUGAGAGAGGAGAAGAGAGGAGGGAGGAGAAGACAGGAGAGGAGAACAGAGAUGAGAAGAAAGAACAGGGGAGAGAGAAGAGAUGAGAGAGGAGAAGAGAGGAGAAGAGAGGAGAAGAGAGGAGGGAGGAGAAGAGAGGAGAACAGAGGAGGGGGAGAAGAGAGGAGAACAGAGGAGAGAGAAGCGAGAAGAGAGAAGAGAGGAGAGAGGAGAAAAGAGGAGAGACUAGAAGAGAGGAGAACAGGGGAGAGAGAAGAGAUGAGAGAAGACAAGAGAGUAGAUAAGAGAACAGAAGAGAGAAUAGAAGAGAAGAAAGGAGAGUUGAGGGGGGUAGAGGAGAGGAAAGGAAAGGAAUAUAAGUGUUUCUGAAGGAGGGAGGAAAGAAAGGGGGGGGGGUCAGAUUUCCACAGACCACUUCUGUAAGCACUCAGAGUGCGGUCAGCCUGACCAAGCCCUGGGGGGAGGAUGUCAAGGACUUAGCAAGGCUUUAGCUCGCACAGACACAGAGAUAUUCAGCUCUGCAGUAGUCAUAGAGGUUACACAGACAGAGAUAUUCAGCUCUGCAGUAGUCAUAGAGGUUACACAGACAGAGAUAUUCAGCUCUACAGUAGUCAUAGAGGUUACACAGACAGAGAUAUUCAGCUCUGCAGUAGUCAUAGAGGUUACACAGACAGGGAUAUUCAGCUCUGCAGUAGUCAUAGAGGUUACACAGACAGAGAUAUUCAGCUCUGCAGUAGUCAUAGAGGUUACACAGACAGAGAUAUUCAGCUCUGCAGUAGUCAUAGAGGUUACACAGACAGAGAUAUUCAGCUCUGCAGUAGUCAUAGAGGUUACACAGACAGAGAUAUUCAGCUCUGCAGUAGUCAUAGAGGUUACACAGACAGAGAUAAUCAGCUCUGCAGUAGUCAUAGAGGUUACACAGACAGAGAUAUUCAGCUCUGCAGUAGUCAUAGAGGUUACACAGACAGAGAUAUUCAGCUCUACAGUAGUCAUAGAGGUUACACAGACAGAGAUAUGUGUUCCAAAAGGUGACCUCUAUGUCUACAGUCUCAGAAAACAAGGUGCUCUCUAGUACUUAAAAUGGUUCUUCGGCAGUAGGAGAACCCUUUUGGGUUCCAUGUACUGUAGAACCCUCUGUGAAAAGGAUUUUACAUGGAACCCAAAAUGAUUCUACAUGGAACAACAAAGGGUUCUUCAAAGGGCUCUCCUAUGGGGACAGAUUGUAGUCAUAGAGGUCACGUCAAGUUUCCAUGGUGAAAAUAUAGACACCUUUUAACAUUAGGUUAUACAUGCUGCUUCUGACACCGAUAAACCAGUGGGUCAUGCAGGGUCAAGUGUUUGAUGUUUAUAGUGGUACUCUAUUCCCUACAUAGUCCACUACCUUUGACCACAAUCCUGUGGGCCUUGGUCAAAAGUAGUGCACAAUAUAGGGAAAAGGGUGCCAUUUGGGAUGCAUCCAGUAUCUCCAUAAAUAAAAGAAAAACAUGCAAAACAAAGAUGCCUAAGCCAUUUCCAGCUCUGAGGCAGAGGUGCAGUUACACGU
Oncorhynchus keta (chum salmon) is the source of this 4410-nucleotide long non-coding RNA. RefSeq lists it as uncharacterized. The transcript is spliced from 4 exons. The record is from RefSeq and is a predicted model, not a curated record. NCBI's taxonomy places the organism in Eukaryota, Metazoa, Chordata, Actinopteri, Salmoniformes, Salmonidae.